AGACUAAGGCACUCCCUAGGUGUUGUACUGACAGUCAGGGGCCAUAGACAAGACUGAGACUCAUAGAGGCAGACUAAGGCACCCGCUAGGUGUUGUACUGUCAGGGUUCAUAGACAAGGCUGAGACUCAUAGAGGCAGACUAAGACACCCGCUAGGUGUUGUACUGUCAGGGUUCA
Petromyzon marinus (sea lamprey) is the source of this 176-nucleotide non-coding RNA. The record is from RefSeq and is a predicted model, not a curated record. Lineage: Eukaryota; Metazoa; Chordata; Hyperoartia; Petromyzontiformes; Petromyzontidae.